AACAACAACGCGGAAAAGAGAAAGAGAAAGAGAGAGAUAGGCGAGACAAAAAAAAAGAAAGAACAGAAAGCAGUUAAUUGACCUGCCAUUUUCAUCGCCUUCUCCAAAAAUUUCUCCCGAUCUAUGUAAUUAAUCUGGUAAUUCCUCUACUGACACGGUGAGUCACUGGUAUCUGAUUUGGUCCUUUUAAUCUAUUUGGUGAAUUUUUGGAUUUUACGCCUGCGGUUCGGCUUUUUAUAUGGUUUUCUAUUCUGGGUUGGUUUUGUUUGUUGAUCGUUUCAAAAUUUGAGUUUUUUUGUUGUCUGAUCUAUUUUUCCUUCUAGGUUUGUUCUUGAUUGAAUUUUGGGAACUAGGACAAUGUAGCUAGUUUUUAUUUUUUUUCGUUGGUUUUUUGUUGUGUUAUUUUCUAUCAUUCUAAAAAUUAUUGAAACUGUUAGAGGUUGGAUAUAUUUUUUUUAAUGCCAAAUUCACCAAAACAGAAUGUUUUAAUCAAAGAAACAAUUUUGUAUCAUUGUUCCUUCUCUUUUUUUUUUUUUUUCACCAUUGUUUUCUUAGGCAGUGGACCCUUGUGUCUUUUUGUGCAUGCCCAUUUCCAGCAGUAACAAUCUUUUGGAUCUAAUAUGGGUCUGAAAAACAUUGAAACAGUUGCCAUGAUAUCAUCUUAUAAUUCGAUUAGAUGAUCAGAUGCCUUGUAUUGUAUCUAAAAUUUCACUUUUUAUUUCCAGCUUCUCUCAUUGGUGUUCUUAAGACCAAUAUGAAUUGUAAUACAAUGAUACUCUCUAAUUAUAUCAUGUGAAAGUUUUUAUCCAUUCAAUGUGUAUUGUUACUAUUUUCCUGAAAUAUUUGCUUGUUAAGACUUGUUACAUUUUAAAUUGAUUUUUGAGAUUUACAUCAGAUGCUGAUUUGUGAUUAUAUCUGCCUUAUUUAUUGAAUUUGUUGUAGAUUUCGAAUAUAUGGAAAAAAUUCCUAUAAAGGGGGGCAAUGAAUACCUUGUGUACACAAGUCUUAUAAAGGUACGAAUUCAUAUUCCCUUUAUUCUAUUGUAAGUAGUUCAUGAAAGUUUUUUGUUGCUUUGUUGCCUUAUUUAUAAAUAUGUGUAUGUAUUUAUGCAUAUAUUAGAAAAAUAAUGGGGGGGAGAGAUAUUGGACAGUUAAUAACUAGGCCGUCUGAUCUGCUUGUUUCUUUAACUAUGUUUAUAUAGGUUAUUUCAAAAGGACAAGGAAGAGAAACACACUGCGACCACAUUGUGAAUGUAAGUUCUUUUGUUGAUAUGUUGUCAUUGAGUUGCUGUAAUUUUUCAAACGGUUGAAGCAUUUUUCAUUUUACUGUUAAUGGUAUAUUCUAACCAAUUUGAUCAACAGAGUUAAAUGUUUGAACUUGACUCAGAAAAACUUAAAAUAAGGCUAAUUUUUAUAGAGUUUUAUUCUUCAAAUUUGAUAGUGAUUUUAAAAGUUAGUGAGCUAUUCAAUUAGCCUCAUAUCAUUAAAGAUAAAAUCUAGCUCAAACACUUGGUGAUAGAGAGAUUUGUUAUUAAGUCAACAGACAAUAAGCAUGAAUUUGCAUUUGAUAUUGAUUCUGCAUUUGCUUAAAAAGAGAAGAAGCAUGAAUCUGCUUUUAUUAGGUUUUUGAAGUUGUAAUAUAUUAUUUUGUAGUAAUUUUACAACUGAUGAGAUUUUACGCGAUAGAAGAUGGCACAAAAGGUCCAUUAGUAAGACACUGGGAUAAUGUGGUUUAAAACUAAAAUAUUGUUGGUUGAAUGAAAUAAAUUUAUUUAAAUUACUAAAUAUUCCUAAAGUUUUAAUUUGGAAUAUUAUAUUAAGAGGUAAUUAAAAUGAUUAAUUGGCUAUGUCACUCAAACUCAUGUUAAGCGUGGAAUACAAUUAUGUAUCUAGAAUGGGUAUACUCAAAUUUAAAAAAAAAUUAAAACUGUGAGAUGAAUUAACUAGGCCUAUAGUAAAAUAAAUUUUAUUGAUAAAAUAGUACAAAAUUAAAUAAUUGUGUUAAUUAAUUUUGACUAUACUGGUGGGACCUUUUCUUUUAAAGAGAACAAUAUUUUAUUUCAUUUUUCAAUUAAAUUAAAUCCUUAUAAUAUGAGUCUUAUUUUAAAAUUUUGAUAAUCUGACUCAUUAAAUUAAUUAGUUGAAAAUCAAAAUAAUCUUUUAAUUAUAUAUAAAAAUGUGUUAGAUCAAUUAUUGAUUUUAUUAAUUUUUAAAAAAAUAUAAUUUAAUCUAAAUUGUAGGUGUAAAAUGUAACGCCCCAAAAUUUCUAUUUUCGUUAUUGUGAAAAUAUGAGACAAAUAUCUAUUAGCUUUAAUGGUUAUGUGUUCUGGGAGUGCUUGGUAGGUCCCAAGUUCAAGCUUUCGCUUGGGUAAAUUUUGGUAUUUUGAAUGAAUUAGGCAUUACUCUUGUUAAGUAGGCUUUUAUUUGAUUGUUGGGUAAAUUACAUUAGAAUGGGUCUGUUGGUCUAGUGGUUAAAUAGUGUAUUAUUAUGGUGGAGGUAUUGUGUUUGAAUCCUUAGGCAAGAGUAUUAUUUUUUGCUCAGAUUUCGGGAUAGAGUUGUGUAAUAGGGGGAUUCUGAGUAGUGGAUGUGUAGUGGGAAUUAGGUGAGAAGAUUAAAGGAUUUUGGGGGUUAUCGGGAUUUUAUUUUAUUUUUUCCCAUAACCGAAUUUUGACUCUUUUUUCCAAAACAAAUUAUGUCGUCUACUCUUCUCCCUCUCCUCUUGACGAAAUUCUUUGAGUUUUUCGAUCUUUCUCUUCUUUUUCUUCCUCUUGAUUUUUCCCGAAUCCAUUUAUUUUCCUUCAUUUUCGCACGCGGUUAGUGUUUCUCUUCGUUUCUGUCAUGAAUCUCUUAAUGACUGAAGUGGUAAUGUUUUUUCUCGGGGAUUUGGGCAUAUGGGGAGGCUCGAACUGGUGAAUUU
This 2917-nucleotide long non-coding RNA is filed under the name Gossypium barbadense (sea-island cotton). RNAcentral's name for it is "long non-coding RNA (GBAR_LNC016460)". The record is from RNAcentral. Lineage: Eukaryota; Viridiplantae; Streptophyta; Magnoliopsida; Malvales; Malvaceae.